AAAAAUUUUUUUUAAUAAUAAAAUUGGAAUGAUAUGGAUUAGCAUGGCCCCUGCAUAAGGAAUGACAUGCAAAUUCAUGAAGCAUUAAUUAACUAA
Molecule: small nuclear RNA, 96 nt
Organism: Lynx canadensis (Canada lynx)
Lineage: Eukaryota; Metazoa; Chordata; Mammalia; Carnivora; Felidae
Source: Ensembl